CGUGGGUAACCUGCCCAAGAGAUCGGGAUAACACCUGGAAACAGAUGCUAAUACCGGAUAACAACAGAUGAUGCCUAUCAACUGUUUAAAAGAUGGUUCUGCUAUCACUCUUGGAUGGACCUGCGGUGCAUUAGCUAGUUGGUAGGGUAACGGCCUGCCAAGGCGAUAAUGCAUAGCCGAGUUGAGAGACUGAUCGGCCACAUUGGGGCUGAGACACGGCCCAAACUCCUACGGGAGGCAGCAGGA
This 246-nucleotide ribosomal RNA is filed under the name uncultured Lactobacillus sp. Its description in RNAcentral is "partial 16S ribosomal RNA". It matches the Rfam family "Bacterial small subunit ribosomal RNA", at positions 116 to 354 of the family's 1533-position model. The record is from RNAcentral. Lineage: Bacteria; Bacillati; Bacillota; Bacilli; Lactobacillales; Lactobacillaceae.